Molecule: long non-coding RNA, 1550 nt
Organism: Homo sapiens (human)
Lineage: Eukaryota; Metazoa; Chordata; Mammalia; Primates; Hominidae
Gene: SMPD4BP
Product: sphingomyelin phosphodiesterase 4B, pseudogene
Source: Ensembl
AGCUAAGGACCACUCCCUCCCCCCGCACUCCUGCCUCGCCAUUUCCCCUCCCUGGCCGGCCGGCCGGCCUUCUUCGCUUUGCGCACGUACCUUUUGAGGUAACGGCCCAAAGAGGUAGAAGCGCUUUUCCCGCCCGGCCGCGGGGCGUGGCUCUGCGCGCAGCUUGAUGACGACGUUUUGGCGCGGUGGCGGAAUGGCGGCUUCCACCUCUGAAGCGGGCGACGCUAUGGGUCCCACAGUGGUUUGCUAAGAAGGCCAUUUUCAACUCUCCAUUGGAGGCUGCUAUGGCGUUCCCUCACCUGCAGCAGCCCAGCUUUCUACUGGCCAGCCUGAAAGCUGACUCUAUAAAUAAGCCCUUUGCACAGCAGUGCCAAGACUUGAUUAAAGUAAUUGAGGAUUUUCCAGCAAAGGAGCUGCACACCAUCUUCCCAUGGCUGGUAGAGAGCAUUUUCGGCAGCCUAGACGGUGUCCUCGUUGGCUGGAACCUCCGCUGCUUACAGGGGCGUGUGAAUCCUGUGGAGUACAGCAUCGUGAUGGAAUUUCUCGACACUGGUGGCCCAAUGAUGAAGUUGGUUUAUAAGCUUCAAGCUGAAGACUAUAAGUUCGACUUUCCUGUCUCCUACCUGCCUGGUCCUGUGAAGGCGUCCAUCCAGGAGUGCAUCCUCCCUGACAGUCCUCUGUACCACAACAAGGUCCAGUUCACCCCUACUGGGGGCCUUGGUCUGAACCUGGCCCUGAAUCCAUUCGAGUAUUACAUAUUCUUCUUUGCCUUGAGCCUCAUCACUCAGAAGCCACUCCCUGUGUCCCUCCACGUCCGUACUUCAGACUGUGCCUAUUUCAUCCUGGUGGACAGGUACCUGUCAUGGUUCCUGCCCACCGAAGGCAGUGUGCCCUGCCACUCUCCUCCAGCCCAGGGGGGACCAGCCCCUCACCGCCUCCCAGGACACCAACCAUGCCCUUUGCUUCCUAUGGCCUCCACCACACUAGCCUCCUGAAGCGACACAUCUCUCAUCAGACGUCUGUGAAUGCAGACCCCGCCUCCCACGAGAUCUGGAGGUCAGACACUGCUCCAGGUGAGAGUUGAGCUGGUCAAAAGAAACUGUUCAGCCAGCUGGGCAUGGUGGCUCAUGCCUAUAAUCCCCAGCACUUUGUGAGGCCGAGGUGGGCAGAUCAUCUGAGGUCAGGAGUUUGGGACCAACCUGGCCAACAUGGUGAAACCAUGUGUCUACUAAAAAUACAAAAAUGAGCCGGGCACGGUGGCAGGCGCCUGUAAUUUCAGCUACUCAGGAGGCUGAGGCAGGAGAAUCACUUGAACACAGGAGGUGGAGACAGCAGUAAGCUGAGAUAGUGCCAUUGCACUCCAGCGUGGGUGACAGAACUGGACUCCAUCUCAAAAAAGAAAAGAAAAGAAAAAAGAAACUGUUUAGCCACCUUCCACUAUGUGGGGCAGAGUCCCAGAGGCGGCCCCUCAGCCCGGGGCUGAUUCUAAAUUGUUGGUAUUUUCCUGCUGUGACAUUUAGAAAACAUGAAAGUAAAUCUGCCCACCCUUC